This is a long non-coding RNA of Lethenteron reissneri (Far Eastern brook lamprey), 2133 nucleotides long. RefSeq lists it as uncharacterized. Lineage: Eukaryota; Metazoa; Chordata; Hyperoartia; Petromyzontiformes; Petromyzontidae. The record is from RefSeq and is a predicted model, not a curated record.
UCUGCCGACGAUCCGAAGUCGAUCUGCGGAUCGAUCCGACAGCCCUCGGCGGGAACGCAAAGCGAAUGUCAAUGGAGAGAGAAGUUGACAGCCCCCGACUCGGCGUGGAGUCGCCGCCUCGCCCACCUCCUCCUGCACCUCCUACUCUACCUCCUCCUGCACCUCCUCAGUGCCCUGGCGACGACAACAACCCCACAGCGGCAGCAGCGACUACGACAACGCCCGCCGUUGAGGCCUACACCGCCUCGGAGCCUGCGGCCUCUGCCCACGCCGCGUCGCAUUCGGCGGGGGAGAUUCAGGCGAGGGGCGGCGAGGAGGAGGAGGAGGAGGGGGGGGCGGUUGGGGGAAAGGAAUGUGAUGAUGAUGAAGAUGAUGAGGAGGAUGAUGAUGAGGAGGAGGAGGAAGAUGAGGAGCAAGCUGAAGAGGACUAUGAGGAGGAGAUCCUGCAGCUGCUGAUGGCCGUGACCGCUGCACGUGCAGCAGCUCCACAAGGUUCAGCGGCAGCAGCAGCAGGAGGAGGAGCUCCGGCUUCAGCCGGCGGCGCCGGAGAUCCUGCACGGCGGGUCGUGGGCUGGGGCCGCCCGCCCACGCCCCAACCCGGCGGUGGUGGUGGUGAAGAUGGUGGUGGUGGUGAAGAUGGUGGUGGUGGCGCAGGCGGCCCGGCUGGUGAGCAUGUGCGGGACCUCCAUCUUGGAGCUGCUGGGGCGCGCAGGCUGGGAGGGCUUCCUGCAGGCUUUGGGGCCGGAGAGAGAGACAGAGACACAGAGAGAGAGAGAGACACAGUGAGAGACAAACAGAGACACAGUGAGAGAGACACAGAGACACAGUGAGAAACACAGAGACACAGUGAGAGACAAACAGAGACACAGUGAGAGAGACACAGAGACACAUUGAGAGACACAGAGAGAGAGACAGAGACACAGAGAGAGAGACAGAGACACAGUGAGAGACAAACAGAGACACAGAGAGAGAGAGACACAGUGAGAGAGACAGAGAGAGACAGACAGAGAGAGACACAGUGACAGACACAGUGAGAGACACAGAGACACAGUGACAGAGACACAGAGACACAGUGAGAGAGACACAGAGACACAGUGAGAGAGACACAGAGACACAGAGACAGAGAGAGAGACAGAGACACAGUGAGAGAGAGGCACAGUGAGAGACACAGAGACAAACAGAGACACAGAGAGAGACAGAGACACAGUGAGAGAGACACAGAGACACAGUGAGAAACAGAGAGAGACACACAGACAGAGACAUACAGUGAGAGAGAGACAGAGAGACACAUUGAGAGACACAGAGAGAGACACACAGACAGAGACAUAAAGUGAGAGAGACACAUUGAGAGACACAGUGAGAGAGAGACACAUUUAAAGACACAGAGAGAGAGACAGAGAGAGAGAACGUCAGAGUUAGAAAAGGAAGAAAAAACCCGUACGGACAAGACGGUGCGGCCUCACCAUCACCCCCACCGAGACGCCCACGGAAGCUGUAGCACAGGUUUUGUUUGUAUUAGAUCGCGUAUCAACGUUGUGUUGUUAAACCCGCCACCACCCUACACGACCAUCUCACCACACAGAGGCCCACGCAGACACCCACAGACUCACCACACAGAGACCACACAGACACCCACAGACUCACCACACAGAUACCACACAGACACGCACAGACUCACCACACAGAGACCACACAGACACCCACAGACUCACCACACAGAGACCACACAGCCACCCACAGACUCACCACACAGAGACCACACAGACACCCACAGACUCACCACACAGAGACCACACAGACACCCACAGACUCACCACACAGAGACCACACAGACACCCACAGACUCACCACACAGAGACCCACAGACGCACCAUACAGAGACCCACAGACUCACCACACAGACACCCACACAGACACCCACAGACUCACCACACAGAGACCCACAGACUCACCACACAGAGACCCACAGACUCACCACAUAGAGACCCACAGACUCACCACACAGAGACCCACAGACUCACCACACAGACACCCACAGACUCACCACAUAGAGACCCACAGACUCACCACACAGAGACCCACAGACUCACCACACAGACACCCACAGACUCACCACACAGACACCCACAAACU